RNAcentral lists this unclassified non-coding RNA (350 nucleotides) under uncultured fungus. RNAcentral's name for it is "partial contains small subunit ribosomal RNA, internal transcribed spacer 1, and 5.8S ribosomal RNA". The stretch from base 1 to 73 matches the Rfam family "Eukaryotic small subunit ribosomal RNA", at positions 1759 to 1831 of the family's 1831-position model. Lineage: Eukaryota; Fungi. The record is from RNAcentral.
GCAAACUUGGUCAUUUAGAGGAAGUAAAAGUCGUAACAAGGUUUCCGUAGGUGAACCUGCGGAAGGAUCAUUGCCGAUCGGACGCGCUUACCGCUUUUCACGAAGAAGUGGUUCGCGCGUCUUUUUCGACCCAACCCAUGUGAACUAGUAUCUUGUGUUUAACACCCUCGAGUCUGUCUGUCUCUCAGAUGGACUCGAGGGAUGUCCAAACAUUUUACAACAAACCACAUUCUCUUAAACCUCUUGACUGAGACAUGUAGGUCACGCCUAAAAACGUUGAUCUCAAAAACCUAACCAUUACAACUUUUAACAACGGAUAUCUUGGCUCGCGCAUCGAUGAAGAACGCAGC